Molecule: ribosomal RNA, 439 nt
Filed under: uncultured bacterium
Lineage: Bacteria
Description: partial 16S ribosomal RNA
Rfam family: Bacterial small subunit ribosomal RNA
Source: RNAcentral
CUACGGGGUGCUCCAGUGAGGAAUAUUGCACAAUGGGGGGAACCCUGAUGCAGCAACGCCGCGUGGAGGAUGACGCAUUUCGGUGUGUAAACUCCUUUUAUAUGUCAAGAAAAUGACGGUAGCAUAUGAAUAAGCACCGGCUAACUCCGUGCCAGCAGCCGCGGUAAUACGGAGGGUGCAAGCGUUACUCGGAAUCACUGGGCGUAAAGGACGCGUAGGCGGGCUUGUAAGUCAGGUGUGAAAUCCUACAGCUUAACUGUAGAACUGCACUUGAAACUUCUAAUCUAGAGUAUGGGAGGGGGAGAUGGAAUUAGUGGUGUAGGGGUAAAAUCCGUAGAUAUCACUAGGAAUACCUAAAGCGAAGGCGAUCUCCUGGAACAUUACUGACGCUAAGGCGUGAAAGCGUGGGGAGCAAACAGGAUUAGAUACCCCCGUAGUC